This 253-nucleotide ribosomal RNA is filed under the name uncultured bacterium. RNAcentral's name for it is "partial 16S ribosomal RNA". It matches the Rfam family "Bacterial small subunit ribosomal RNA", at positions 524 to 776 of the family's 1533-position model. The record is from RNAcentral.
UACGAAGGGGGCUAGCGUUGUUCGGAAUCACUGGGCGUAAAGGGCGCGUAGGCGGCCGAUCAAGUCGGGGGUGAAAGCCUGUGGCUCAACCACGGAAUUGCCUUCGAUACUGUUUGGCUUGAGACCGGAAGAGGUUAGUGGAACUGCGAGUGUAGAGGUGAAAUUCGUAGAUAUUCGCAAGAACACCAGUGGCGAAGGCGGCUGACUGGUCCGGUUCUGACGCUGAGGCGCGAAAGCGUGGGGAGCAAACAGG